Molecule: ribosomal RNA, 497 nt
Filed under: uncultured bacterium
Lineage: Bacteria
Description: partial 16S ribosomal RNA
Rfam family: Bacterial small subunit ribosomal RNA
Source: RNAcentral
GAUGAAAGGUGGCGGCGUGCCUAAUACAUGCAAGUCGAGCGAACAGACGAGGAGCUUGCUCCUCUGACGUUAGCGGCGGACGGGUGAGUAACACGUGGAUAACCUACCUAUAAGACUGGGAUAACUUCGGGAAACCGGAGCUAAUACCGGAUAAUAUAUUGAACCGCAUGGUUCAAUAGUGAAAGACGGUUUUGCUGUCACUUAUAGAUGGAUCCGCGCCGCAUUAGCUAGUUGGUAAGGUAACGGCUUACCAAGGCAACGAUGCGUAGCCGACCUGAGAGGGUGAUCGGCCACACUGGAACUGAGACACGGUCCAGACUCCUACGGGAGGCAGCAGUAGGGAAUCUUCCGCAAUGGGCGAAAGCCUGACGGAGCAACGCCGCGUGAGUGAUGAAGGUCUUCGGAUCGUAAAACUCUGUUAUUAGGGAAGAACAAAUGUGUAAGUAACUAUGCACGUCUUGACGGUACCUAAUCAGAAAGCCACGGCUAACUACGUG